Molecule: ribosomal RNA, 371 nt
Filed under: uncultured bacterium
Lineage: Bacteria
Description: bacterial SSU rRNA
Rfam family: Bacterial small subunit ribosomal RNA
Source: RNAcentral
GAAGGGGGCUAGCGUUGUUCGGAAUUACUGGGCGUAAAGCGCGUGUAGGCGGUUGCCCAAGUCGGGUGUGAAAGCCUUGAGCUCAACUCAAGAAAUGCACUCGGUACUGGGUGACUAGAGGACCGGAGAGGAUAGUGGAAUUCCCAGUGUAGUGGUGAAAUACGUAGAGAUUGGGAAGAACACCAGUGGCGAAGGCGGCUAUCUGGACGGUUUCUGACGCUAAGACGCGAAAGCGUGGGGAGCAAACAGGAUUAGAUACCCUGGUAGUCCACGCCGUAAACGAUGGGUGCUAGACGUUGGCGAGCUUGCUCGUCAGUGUCGCAGCUAACGCGUUAAGCACCCCGCCUGGGGAGUACGGCCGCAAGGUUGAA